RNAcentral lists this ribosomal RNA (450 nucleotides) under uncultured bacterium. Its description in RNAcentral is "partial 16S ribosomal RNA". It matches the Rfam family "Bacterial small subunit ribosomal RNA", at positions 354 to 796 of the family's 1533-position model. The record is from RNAcentral.
GUGGGGAAUUUUGGACAAUGGGCGCAAGCCUGAUCCAGCAAUGCUGCGUGCAGGAAGAAGGCCUUCGGGUUGUAAACUGCUUUUGUACGGAACGAAACGGUCCGGGUUAAUACCCUGGGCUAAUGACGGUACCGUAAGAAUAAGCACCGGCUAACUACGUGCCAGCAGCCGCGGUAAUACGUAGGGUGCAAGCGUUAAUCGGAAUUACUGGGCGUAAAGCGUGCGCAGGCGGUUUUGUAAGACAGGCGUGAAAUCCCCGGGCUCAACCUGGGAAUUUCGCUUGUGACUGCAAGGCUGGAGUGCGGCAGAGGGGGAUGGAAUUCCGCGUGUAGCAGUGAAAUGCGUAGAUAUGCGGAGGAACACCGAUGGCGAAGGCAAUCCCCUGGGCCUGCACUGACGCUCAUGCACGAAAGCGUGGGGAGCAAACAGGAUUAGAAACCCUAGUAGUCC